This 387-nucleotide ribosomal RNA is filed under the name uncultured bacterium. RNAcentral's name for it is "bacterial SSU rRNA". It matches the Rfam family "Bacterial small subunit ribosomal RNA", at positions 29 to 419 of the family's 1533-position model. The record is from RNAcentral.
AUUGAACGCUGGCGGCAUGCCUUACACAUGCAAGUCGAACGGUAACGCGGGGCAACCUGGCGACGAGUGGCGAACGGGUGAGUAACACAUCGGAACGUGCCCAGUAGUGGGGGAUAGCCCGGCGAAAGCCGGAUUAAUACCGCAUACGACCUACGGGUGAAAGCAGGGGAUCGCAAGACCUUGCGCUAUUGGAGCGGCCGAUGUCAGAUUAGGUAGUUGGUGGGGUAAAAGCCUACCAAGCCGACGAUCUGUAGCUGGUCUGAGAGGACGACCAGCCACACUGGGACUGAGACACGGCCCAGACUCCUACGGGAGGCAGCAGUGGGGAAUUUUGGACAAUGGGCGCAAGCCUGAUCCAGCCAUGCCGCGUGCGGGAAGAAGGCCUUC